AGAGUUUGAUCCUGGCUCAGGACGAACGCUGGCGGCGUGCUUAACACAUGCAAGUCGAACGAAGAGCGAUGGAAGCUUGCUUCUAUCAAUCUUAGUGGCGAACGGGUGAGUAACGCGUAAUCAACCUGCCCUUCAGAGGGGGACAACAGUUGGAAACGACUGCUAAUACCGCAUACGAUCCAACCUCGGCAUCGAGGAUGGAUGAAAGGUGGCCUCUAUUUAUAAGCUAUCACUGAAGGAGGGGGGGAUUGCGUCUGAUUAGCUAGUUGGAGGGGGGUAACGGCCCACCAAGGCAAUGAUCAGUAGCCGGUCUGAGAGGAUGAACGGCCACAUUGGGACUGAGACACGGCCCAGACUCCUACGGGAGGCAGCAGUGGGGGGGAAUCUUCCGCAAUGGACGAAAGUCUGACGGAGCAACGCCGCGUGAGUGAUGACGGCCUUCGGGUUGUAAAGCUCUGUUAAUCGGGACGAAAGGUCCUCUUGCGAAUAGUUAGAGGAAUUGACGGUACCGGAAUAGAAAGCCACGGCUAACUACGUGCCAGCAGCCGCGGUAAUACGUAGGUGGCAAGCGUUGUCCGGAAUUAUUGGGCGUAAAGCGCGCGCAGGCGGAUCAGUCAGUCUGUCUUAAAAGUUCGGGGGGCUUAACCCCGUGAUGGGAUGGAAACUGCUGAUCUAGAGUAUCGGAGAGGAAAGUGGAAUUCCUAGUGUAGCGGUGAAAUGCGUAGAUAUUAGGAAGAACACCAGUGGCGAAGGCGACUUUCUGGACGAAAACUGACGCUGAGGCGCGAAAGCCAGGGGAGCGAACGGGAUUAGAUACCCCCCCGGUAGUCCUGGCCGUAAACGAUGGGUACUAGGUGUAGGAGGUAUCGACCCCCUUCUGUGCCGGAGUUAACGCAAUAAGUACCCCCCGCCUGGGGGAGUACGACCGCAAGGUUGAAACUCAAAGGAAUUGACGGGGGGCCCGCACAAGCGGUGGAGUAUGUGGUUUAAUUCGACGCAACGCGAAGAACCUUACCAGGUCUUGACAUUGAUGGACAGAACUAGAGAUAGUUCCUCUUCUUCGGAAGCCAGAAAACAGGUGGUGCACGGUUGUCGUCAGCUCGUGUCGUGAGAUGUUGGGUUAAGUCCCGCAACGAGCGCAACCCCCUAUCUUAUGUUGCCAGCACGUAAUGGUGGGAACUCAUGAGAGACUGCCGCAGACAAUGCGGAGGAAGGCGGGGGGGAUGACGUCAAAUCAUCAUGCCCCCUUAUGACCUGGGCUACACACGUACUACAAUGGGAGUUAAUAGACGGAAGCGAGAUCGCGAGAUGGAGCAAACCCGAGAAACACUCUCUCAGUUCGGAUCGUAGGCUGCAACUCGCCUACGUGAAGUCGGAAUCGCUAGUAAUCGCAGGUCAGCAUACUGCGGUGAAUACGUUCCCGGGCCUUGUACACACCGCCCGUCACACCACGAAAGUCGGAAGUGCCCAAAGCCGGUGGGGGGGUAACCUUCGGGAGCCAGCCGUCUAAGGUAAAGUCGAUGAUUGGGGGGUGAAGUCGUAACAAGGUAGCCGUAUCGGAAGGUGCGGCUG
This 1572-nucleotide ribosomal RNA is filed under the name Veillonella rogosae JCM 15642. RNAcentral describes it as "bacterial SSU rRNA". It matches the Rfam family "Bacterial small subunit ribosomal RNA". The record is from RNAcentral. Lineage: Bacteria; Bacillati; Bacillota; Negativicutes; Veillonellales; Veillonellaceae.